RNAcentral lists this ribosomal RNA (197 nucleotides) under uncultured bacterium. RNAcentral describes it as "partial 16S ribosomal RNA". It matches the Rfam family "Bacterial small subunit ribosomal RNA", at positions 328 to 539 of the family's 1533-position model. The record is from RNAcentral.
ACGCUCGACACCUACGGGGGCAGCAGUGGGGAAUAUUGCACAAUGGGGGAAACCCUGAUGCAGCGACGCCGCGUGGAGGAAGAAGGUCUUCGAAUUGUAAACUCCUGUUGUUGGGGAAAAAGAGGAUGGUACCCAACAAGGAAGUGACGGCUAACUACGUGCCAGCAGCCGCGGUAAUCUGAGCGGGCUGGCAAGGC